GUUAAGCGACUAAGCGUACACGGUGGAUGCCCUGGCAGUCAGAGGCGAUGAAGGACGUGCUAAUCUGCGAUAAGCGUCGGUGAGGUGAUAUGAACCGUUAUAACCGGCGAUUUCCGAAUGGGGAAACCCAGUGUGUUUCGACACACUAUCAUUAACUGAAUCCAUAGGUUAAUGAGGCGAACCGGGGGAACUGAAACAUCUAAGUACCCCGAGGAAAAGAAAUCAACCGAGAUUCCCCCAGUAGCGGCGAGCGAACGGGGAGGAGCCCAGAGCCUGAAUCAGUGUGUGUGUUAGUGGAAGCGUCUGGAAAGGCGUGCGAUACAGGGUGACAGCCCCGUACACAAAAAUGCACAUAUUGUGAGCUCGAUGAGUAGGGCGGGACACGUGGUAUCCUGUCUGAAUAUGGGGGGACCAUCCUCCAAGGCUAAAUACUCCUGACUGACCGAUAGUGAACCAGUACCGUGAGGGAAAGGCGAAAAGAACCCCGGCGAGGGGAGUGAAAAAGAACCUGAAACCGUGUACGUACAAGCAGUGGGAGCCUCUUAAUGGGGUGACUGCGUACCUUUUGUAUAAUGGGUCAGCGACUUAUAUUCUGUAGCAAGGUUAACCGAAUAGGGGAGCCGAAGGGAAACCGAGUCUUAACUGGGCGUUAAGUUGCAGGGUAUAGACCCGAAACCCGGUGAUCUAGCCAUGGGCAGGUUGAAGGUUGGGUAACACUAACUGGAGGACCGAACCGACUAAUGUUGAAAAAUUAGCGGAUGACUUGUGGCUGGGGGUGAAAGGCCAAUCAAACCGGGAGAUAGCUGGUUCUCCCCGAAAGCUAUUUAGGUAGCGCCUCGUGAAUUCAUCUCCGGGGGUAGAGCACUGUUUCGGCAAGGGGGUCAUCCCGACUUACCAACCCGAUGCAAACUGCGAAUACCGGAGAAUGUUAUCACGGGAGACACACGGCGGGUGCUAACGUCCGUCGUGAAGAGGGAAACAACCCAGACCGCCAGCUAAGGUCCCAAAGUCAUGGUUAAGUGGGAAACGAUGUGGGAAGGCCCAGACAGCCAGGAUGUUGGCUUAGAAGCAGCCAUCAUUUAAAGAAAGCGUAAUAGCUCACUGGUCGAGUCGGCCUGCGCGGAAGAUGUAACGGGGCUAAACCAUGCACCGAAGCUGCGGCAGCGACACUAUGUGUUGUUGGGUAGGGGAGCGUUCUGUAAGCCUGUGAAGGUGGCCUGUGAGGGUUGCUGGAGGUAUCAGAAGUGCGAAUGCUGACAUAAGUAACGAUAAAGCGGGUGAAAAGCCCGCUCGCCGGAAGACCAAGGGUUCCUGUCCAACGUUAAUCGGGGCAGGGUGAGUCGACCCCUAAGGCGAGGCCGAAAGGCGUAGUCGAUGGGAAACAGGUUAAUAUUCCUGUACUUGGUGUUACUGCGAAGGGGGGACGGAGAAGGCUAUGUUGGCCGGGCGACGGUUGUCCCGGUUUAAGCGUGUAGGCUGGUUUUCCAGGCAAAUCCGGAAAACCAAGGCUGAGGCGUGAUGACGAGGCACUACGGUGCUGAAGCGACAAAUGCCCUGCUUCCAGGAAAAGCCUCUAAGCAUCAGGUAACAUCAAAUCGUACCCCAAACCGACACAGGUGGUCAGGUAGAGAAUACCAAGGCGCUUGAGAGAACUCGGGUGAAGGAACUAGGCAAAAUGGUGCCGUAACUUCGGGAGAAGGCACGCUGAUAUGUAGGUGAAGCGACUUGCUCGUGGAGCUGAAAUCAGUCGAAGAUACCAGCUGGCUGCAACUGUUUAUUAAAAACACAGCACUGUGCAAACACGAAAGUGGACGUAUACGGUGUGACGCCUGCCCGGUGCCGGAAGGUUAAUUGAUGGGGUUAGCGGCAACGCGAAGCUCUUGAUCGAAGCCCCGGUAAACGGCGGCCGUAACUAUAACGGUCCUAAGGUAGCGAAAUUCCUUGUCGGGUAAGUUCCGACCUGCACGAAUGGCGUAAUGAUGGCCAGGCUGUCUCCACCCGAGACUCAGUGAAAUUGAACUCGCUGUGAAGAUGCAGUGUACCCGCGGCAAGACGGAAAGACCCCGUGAACCUUUACUAUAGCUUGACACUGAACAUUGAGCCUUGAUGUGUAGGAUAGGUGGGAGGCUUUGAAGUGUGGACGCCAGUCUGCAUGGAGCCGACCUUGAAAUACCACCCUUUAAUGUUUGAUGUUCUAACGUUGGCCCGUAAUCCGGGUUGCGGACAGUGUCUGGUGGGUAGUUUGACUGGGGCGGUCUCCUCCUAAAGAGUAACGGAGGAGCACGAAGGUUGGCUAAUCCUGGUCGGACAUCAGGAGGUUAGUGCAAUGGCAUAAGCCAGCUUGACUGCGAGCGUGACGGCGCGAGCAGGUGCGAAAGCAGGUCAUAGUGAUCCGGUGGUUCUGAAUGGAAGGGCCAUCGCUCAACGGAUAAAAGGUACUCCGGGGAUAACAGGCUGAUACCGCCCAAGAGUUCAUAUCGACGGCGGUGUUUGGCACCUCGAUGUCGGCUCAUCACAUCCUGGGGCUGAAGUAGGUCCCAAGGGUAUGGCUGUUCGCCAUUUAAAGUGGUACGCGAGCUGGGUUUAGAACGUCGUGAGACAGUUCGGUCCCUAUCUGCCGUGGGCGCUGGAGAACUGAGGGGGGCUGCUCCUAGUACGAGAGGACCGGAGUGGACGCAUCACUGGUGUUCGGGUUGUCAUGCCAAUGGCACUGCCCGGUAGCUAAAUGCGGAAGAGAUAAGUGCUGAA
This 2748-nucleotide ribosomal RNA is filed under the name Escherichia coli. RNAcentral describes it as "partial 23S ribosomal RNA". It matches the Rfam family "Bacterial large subunit ribosomal RNA". The record is from RNAcentral. Lineage: Bacteria; Pseudomonadati; Pseudomonadota; Gammaproteobacteria; Enterobacterales; Enterobacteriaceae.